RNAcentral lists this ribosomal RNA (1475 nucleotides) under Candidatus Pelagibacter sp. Its description in RNAcentral is "bacterial SSU rRNA". It matches the Rfam family "Bacterial small subunit ribosomal RNA". The record is from RNAcentral. Lineage: Bacteria; Pseudomonadati; Pseudomonadota; Alphaproteobacteria; Candidatus Pelagibacterales; Candidatus Pelagibacteraceae.
AAACUUGAGAGUUUGAUCAUGGCUCAGAACGUACGCUGGCGGCACGCCUAACACAUGCAAGUCGAACGAAGUAGCAAUACUUAGUGGCAGACGGGUGAGUAACAUGUAGGUAUCUGCCCUUUGGCCUGGAAUAACACGAGGAAACUUGUGCUAAUACCGGAUAAGUCUUUACGGAGAAAGCUUUAUGCACCAUUGGAUGAGCCUGCACUUGAUUAGUUUGUUGGUGGGGUAAUGGCCUACCAAGACUGUGAUCAAUAGCUGAUUUGAGAGGAUGAUCAGCCACAUUGGGACUGAGACACGGCCCAAACUCCUACGGGAGGCAGCAGUGGGGAAUCUUGCACAAUGGAGGAAACUCUGAUGCAGCGAUGCCGCGUGAGUGAAGAAGGCCUUUGGGUUGUAAAGCUCUUUCGUCGGGGAAGAAAAUGACUGUACCCGAAUAAGAAGGUCCGGCUAACUUCGUGCCAGCAGCCGCGGUAAUACGAAGGGACCUAGCGUAGUUCGGAAUUACUGGGCUUAAAGAGUUCGUAGGUGGUUGAAAAAGUUGGUGGUGAAAUCCCAGAGCUUAACUCUGGAACUGCCAUCAAAACUUUUCAGCUAGAGUAUGAUAGAGGAAAGCAGAAUUUCUAGUGUAGAGGUGAAAUUCGUAGAUAUUAGAAAGAAUACCAAUUGCGAAGGCAGCUUUCUGGAUCAUUACUGACACUGAGGAACGAAAGCAUGGGUAGCGAAGAGGAUUAGAUACCCUCGUAGUCCAUGCCGUAAACGAUGUGUGUUAGACGUUGGAAAUUUAUUUUCAGUGUCGCAGCGAAAGCGAUAAACACACCGCCUGGGGAGUACGACCGCAAGGUUAAAACUCAAAUGAAUUGACGGGGACCCGCACAAGUAGUGGAGCAUGUGGUUUAAUUCGAAGAUACGCGCAGAACCUUACCAACACUUGACAUGUUCGUCGCGACUCUAAGAGAUUAGAGUUUUCGGUUCGGCCGGACGAAACACAGGUGCUGCAUGGCUGUCGUCAGCUCGUGUCGUGAGAUGUUGGGUUAAGUCCCGCAACGAGCGCAACCCUCACUUUUAGUUGCCAUCAUUAAGUUGGGCACUCUGAAAGAACUGCCAGUGAUAAGCUGGAGGAAGGUGGGGAUGACGUCAAGUCCUCAUGGCCCUUACGUGUUGGGCUACACACGUGCUACAAUGGUAUCUACAACAGGAAGCAAGACUGCGAAGUUUAGCAAAUCCCUAAAAGAUACCUCAGUUCGGAUUGCACUCUGCAACUCGAGUGCAUGAAGCUGGAAUUACUAGUAAUCGUGGAUCAGCGUGCCACGGUGAAUGCGUUCCCGGGUCUUGUACACACCGCCCGUCACACCAUGGGAGUUGGUUCUACCUUAAGGCAAGGCUUUAAACCCUUGACCACGGUAUAGUCAGCGACUGGGGUGAAGUCGUAACAAGGUAGCCGUAGGGGAACCUGCGGCUGGAUUACCUCCUUU